GGCGCCUCCCCUGCCCCAGGCCCCCGCCCACACACCCGUUCUCACACCCACGCUCCCAUCUCUCUCUGUGCAGCCACGCUCGCACCCACACACACGCUCUCACCAGGGGCGCCCCCCCCCAUGCACGGAGACCGCCACGCGGCCUGUUGGGGGCCUCUCCAGUGCCCCUCUGCGCUCCUUCUGCACGUGCCCAGGAGCAGCCACCCCAGCAAUGCCCCAUGACAGUCUAGCCCACCUGGCGGGAGGCCAGGGAGGAGGGCGUUGCCCCUCGGGCUCUCUGCCCACCUACGUCCAGCUGGGCCUCACAGCUGCUGCCGAGAAGAGCCAACAGGGCAGAGCCGGGAGGCCAAGACAAGGCCUGGCCGGAACCCAGGCCACCACGCUGACCAGGAGCCCAGGAGGAAGCAGGAGAGCCGUCUCCUGGGGGCUGUGACGUCGUCGGGCCAGGCCCCGGAGCCGGUUCUUGUUCAGUUCCACCAAAAUGACCUCGUGGGCUAUGUGCACGGACAACAGGACGUAUUCCCACGUGGAGCCAUGGAGUCACUCCCUCCCCUCGGCAACCAGCCUCCGAGGGCGCAGGCCCCUUCGAACCCCUGCUGGACUCGAGCGAUGCGCGAGCAACUGAGUGCGGAGAGUCCAGCCAGCUGGUCGACGAGGCCGGGUCCCCCACCACCC
Molecule: long non-coding RNA, 675 nt
Filed under: Dasypus novemcinctus (nine-banded armadillo)
Lineage: Eukaryota; Metazoa; Chordata; Mammalia; Cingulata; Dasypodidae
Description: lncRNA (ENSDNOG00000052926.1)
Source: RNAcentral